GCUUGCAGCCUAGGCCUCCGGCCGGCGACGGGAGGCGGAAGUGCUGUGGGCCACCGCCUCCGUCCCGGCUGCGGCCCCUACUGGUUACAUAACUCCGUUGCGGGUUCCGCGCGGCCCCACUUCCGGCUCCCUGAAACCACAGGAUGCACUGAUCCCCACGACGCCGUCUGCUGCCGCCGGCUCCCGCCCGAGGUGUGAAUGACAGAGGUGGUGCCAUCCAGCGCCCUCAGCGAGGUCAGUUUGCGCCUCCUCUGCCACGAUGACAUAGACACCGUGAAACAUCUGUGUGGUGACUGGUUCCCCAUUGAGUACCCAGACUCAUGGUAUCGUGACAUCACCUCCAACAAGAAGUUCUUUUCCCUUGCUGCAACCUACAGGGGUGCCAUCGUGGGAAUGAUAGUAGCUGAAAUAAAAAGUAGGACCAAGAUACACAAGGAGGAUGGAGAUAUUCUAGCCUCCAACUUCUCUGUUGACACACAAGUUGCAUACAUUCUAAGUCUUGGAGUAGUGAAGGAGUUCAGAAAGCACGGCAUAGGUUCACUUUUACUUGAGAGUUUAAAGGAUCACAUAUCCACCACCGCCCAAGACCACUGCAAAGCCAUCUACCUGCACGUCCUCACCACCAACAACACAGCAAUAAACUUUUACGAAAACAGAGACUUUAAGCAGCACCACUAUCUCCCCUACUAUUAUUCCAUCCGCGGGGUCCUCAAAGAUGGUUUCACCUACGUCCUCUACAUCAAUGGCGGCCACCCUCCCUGGACCAUUCUGGACUACAUCCAGCACUUGGGCUCUGCUCUAGCAAACCUGAGCCCCUGCUCCAUCCCACACAGAAUCUACCGCCAGGCCCACAGCCUGCUCUGCAGCUUCCUGCCAUGGUCCAGCAUCUCCACCAAGGGCGGCAUCGAGUACAGCCGGACCAUGUGAUGCCAGCCAGGCAGCCUCCAAUAGGUUCCACCCCUUGGCGCCCUGUGGAGUCUGCCUUCCCGACCAUCUGACCUCAGCUGUCCUCUGCAGAGGAGCUGGCCCAUCAGCCUGUCCCAGCUGCAGGCCUGGUGCUACCCAGGCUCAGGAGCAGAGUGUUGUGGGGCAGGCGUGCCUGGUCUCUGACAGGUACGCCAGAGCAAACAGUGGGAAGAAGGGCAGCAGAACAGAGUGGGAUGACGGUCCUGAGAAAUGGAGGGUCUGGCUCUGCAACAGUGAAAACAGAAGGGCUUGGACGGGCACCUGCUCUGCCAAGGACUGAGGCUCUUCCAGCCCUUCUCGCUCUGGAAACCUCUGCCCCAUGCCCUGGCCUGGCCCUCGUGUGAUUGCACCAGCUCCAUGGGCCGGCUGGCGUGUGGCAGCGUUCACUGUGGUUUGUUUAUUCUGCUGCCCCAGGAGU
This is an RNA transcript of Pteropus alecto (black flying fox), 1384 nucleotides long. It is a transcript of the gene named N(alpha)-acetyltransferase 60, NatF catalytic subunit, with no coding region annotated. The record is from RefSeq and is a predicted model, not a curated record. The transcript is spliced from 7 exons. NCBI's taxonomy places the organism in Eukaryota, Metazoa, Chordata, Mammalia, Chiroptera, Pteropodidae.